UUUUAUCCUUGAAACAAAGUUAUAUCCCUCUGUUUCAGCUACCUAACUCUUCAAACUCCGUUCCAAAAUAAUUUACGAGUUGAAAGUUAUGAUCAAAACCGUGCACGAAGGCAUUAUCAAAAAUUUGUUCUUUUUCUGAAAUUUUCAGCACAAUUUUCAUCUUCUCCAACCCCAAAAACGUCCAUGAAAUCAUCACCAAACAUAUUUCAUGGUUUUAAACUCAAUAAUAAACAUACCAAUAUCAAUCACUACUUAUAUUCAUAUAAUCACACCAAUAGUUCACAA
RNAcentral lists this long non-coding RNA (285 nucleotides) under Lathyrus oleraceus (garden pea). Its description in RNAcentral is "Pisum sativum (pea) long non-coding RNA (PSAT_LNC022435)". Lineage: Eukaryota; Viridiplantae; Streptophyta; Magnoliopsida; Fabales; Fabaceae. The record is from RNAcentral.